AUGUCGACGGUGACCCGUGCCUACCUCGAUCAGAAGCUCGCCGCCGCCCGGCGCUGCUCCAGAGAGGCCGCCGUGGCGGGAGCCAAGGCCGCGGCCGUCGCCACCGUCGCUGCCGCAGUACCUACACUGGCCAGCGUGAGGAUGCUGCCGUGGGCGAGGGCGCACCUGAACCCCACAGGCCAGGCGCUCAUCAUCUCCACCGUCGCUGCGAUGGCCUACUUCAUCGUCGCCGACAAGACCAUCCUCUCCAUGGCCAGGAAGCACUCCUUCGACGACGCGCCAGACCACCUCAAGAACACCUCCUUCCACUAA
RNAcentral lists this ribosomal RNA (312 nucleotides) under Triticum aestivum (bread wheat). Its description in RNAcentral is "partial small subunit ribosomal RNA". Lineage: Eukaryota; Viridiplantae; Streptophyta; Magnoliopsida; Poales; Poaceae. The record is from RNAcentral.